This 720-nucleotide ribosomal RNA is filed under the name Klebsiella aerogenes. RNAcentral describes it as "bacterial SSU rRNA". It matches the Rfam family "Bacterial small subunit ribosomal RNA", at positions 1 to 715 of the family's 1533-position model. Lineage: Bacteria; Pseudomonadati; Pseudomonadota; Gammaproteobacteria; Enterobacterales; Enterobacteriaceae. The record is from RNAcentral.
UAGAGUUUGAAUCCUGGCUCAGAUUGAACGCUGGCGGCAGGCCUAACACAUGCAAGUCGAGCGGUAGCACAGAGAGCUUGCUCUCGGGUGACGAGCGGCGGACGGGUGAGUAAUGUCUGGGAAACUGCCUGAUGGAGGGGGAUAACUACUGGAAACGGUAGCUAAUACCGCAUAACGUCGCAAGACCAAAGUGGGGGACCUUCGGGCCUCAUGCCAUCAGAUGUGCCCAGAUGGGAUUAGCUAGUAGGUGGGGUAAUGGCUCACCUAGGCGACGAUCCCUAGCUGGUCUGAGAGGAUGACCAGCCACACUGGAACUGAGACACGGUCCAGACUCCUACGGGAGGCAGCAGUGGGGAAUAUUGCACAAUGGGCGCAAGCCUGAUGCAGCCAUGCCGCGUGUAUGAAGAAGGCCUUCGGGUUGUAAAGUACUUUCAGCGAGGAGGAAGGCAUUAAGGUUAAUAACCUUAGUGAUUGACGUUACUCGCAGAAGAAGCACCGGCUAACUCCGUGCCAGCAGCCGCGGUAAUACGGAGGGUGCAAGCGUUAAUCGGAAUUACUGGGCGUAAAGCGCACGCAGGCGGUCUGUCAAGUCGGAUGUGAAAUCCCCGGGCUCAUACCUGGGAACUGCAUUCGAAACUGGCAGGUCUAGAGUCUUGUAGAGGGGGGUAGAAUUCCAGGUGUAGCGGUGAAAUGCGUAGAGAUCUGGAGGAAUACCGGUGG